Molecule: ribosomal RNA, 451 nt
Filed under: uncultured bacterium
Lineage: Bacteria
Description: bacterial SSU rRNA
Rfam family: Bacterial small subunit ribosomal RNA
Source: RNAcentral
UGUCCAGACUCCUACGGGAGGCAGCAGUGGGGAAUAUUGGGCAAUGGGCGCAAGCCUGACCCAGCAACGCCGCGUGAAGGAAGAAGGCUUUCGGGUUGUAAACUUCUUUUCUCAGGGACGAAUAGGUGACGGUACCUGAGGAAUAAGCCACGGCUAACUACGUGCCAGCAGCCGCGGUAAUACGGAGGAUGCGAGCGUUAUCCGGAUUUAUUGGGUUUAAAGGGUGCGCAGGCGGCACGGCAAGCCGGCGGUCAAAUCGCGGGGCUCAACCCCGCCCAGCCGUCGGAACUGCCGGGCUAGAGUGGGCGAGAAGUGCGCGGAAUGCGUGGUGUAGCGGUGAAAUGCAUAGAUAUCACGCAGAACUCCGAUUGCGAAGGCAGCAUACCGGCGCCCAACUGACGCUGAAGCACGAAAGCGUGGGUAUCGAACAGGAUUAGAUACCCGGGUACAU